RNAcentral lists this unclassified non-coding RNA (336 nucleotides) under soil metagenome. RNAcentral describes it as "partial contains 5.8S ribosomal RNA, internal transcribed spacer 2, and large subunit ribosomal RNA". The stretch from base 1 to 120 matches the Rfam family "5.8S ribosomal RNA", at positions 35 to 154 of the family's 154-position model. The record is from RNAcentral.
GAUGAAGAACGUAGCGAAAUGCGAUAAGUAGUGUGAAUUGCAGAAUUCAGUGAAUCAUCGAAUCUUUGAACGCACAUUGCGCCCCUUGGUAUUCCAUGGGGCAUGCCUGUUCGAGCGUCAUUUGUACCUUCAAGCCUUGCUUGGUGUUGGGUGUUUGUCUCGCCUCUGCGCGCAGACUCGCCUCAAAACAAUUGGCAGCCGGCGUAUUGAUUUCGGAGCGCAGUACAUCUCGCGCUUUGCACUCAGAACGACGACGUCCAAAAGUACAUUUUUACACUCUUGACCUCGGAUCAGGUAGGGAUACCCGCUGAACUUAAGCAUAUCAAAAGCGGAGGA